This 520-nucleotide ribosomal RNA is filed under the name uncultured Glomus. Its description in RNAcentral is "SSU rRNA". It matches the Rfam family "Eukaryotic small subunit ribosomal RNA", at positions 569 to 1094 of the family's 1831-position model. The record is from RNAcentral. Lineage: Eukaryota; Fungi; Glomeromycota; Glomeromycetes; Glomerales; Glomeraceae.
AGCAGCCGCGGUAAUUCCAGCUCCAAUAGCGUAUAUUAAAGUUGUUGCAGUUAAAAGCUCGUAGUUGAAUUUCGGGGUUAGUAGGUUGGUCAUGCCUCUGGUAUGUACUGGUCUCACUGAUUCCUCCUUCCUGAUGAACCUUAAUGCCAUUUAUUUGGUGUUUUGGGGAAUUUGGACUGUUACUUUGAAAAAUUAGAGUGUUUAAAGCAAGCUAACGCUUGAAUACAUUAGCAUGGAAUAAUGAAAUAGGACGUUCGAUCCUAUUUUGUUGGUUUCUAGGAUUGACGUAAUGAUUAAUAGGGAUAGUUGGGGGCAUUAGUAUUCAAUUGUCAGAGGUGAAAUUCUUGGAUUUAUUGAAGACUAACUACUGCGAAGGCAUUUGCCAAGGAUGUUUUCAUUAAUCAAGAACGAAAGUUAGGGGAUCGAAGACGAUCAGAUACCGUCGUAGUCUUAACCAUAAACUAUGCCGACUAGGGAUCGGAUGAUGUUAAUUUUUAAUGACUCAUUCGCGCCUUACGGG